AUUGAACGCUGGCGGCAUGCCUUACACAUGCAAGUCGAACGGCAGCACGGGGGCAACCCUGGUGGCGAGUGGCGAACGGGUGAGUAAUACAUCGGAACGUACCUAGUAGUGGGGGAUAGCUCGGCGAAAGCCGGAUUAAUACCGCAUACGCACUACGGUGGAAAGCGGGGGAUCGCAAGACCUCGCGCUAUUAGAGCGGCCGAUGCCGGAUUAGCUUGUUGGUGGGGUAAAGGCCUACCAAGGCGACGAUCCGUAGCUGGUCUGAGAGGACGACCAGCCACACUGGGACUGAGACACGGCCCAGACUCCUACGGGAGGCAGCAGUGGGGAAUUUUGGACAAUGGGCGAAAGCCUGAUCCAGCAAUGCCGCGUGUGUGAAGAAGGCC
RNAcentral lists this ribosomal RNA (386 nucleotides) under uncultured bacterium. RNAcentral describes it as "bacterial SSU rRNA". It matches the Rfam family "Bacterial small subunit ribosomal RNA", at positions 29 to 416 of the family's 1533-position model. The record is from RNAcentral.